Carica papaya (papaya) is the source of this 2492-nucleotide non-coding RNA. The record is from RefSeq and is a predicted model, not a curated record. NCBI's taxonomy places the organism in Eukaryota, Viridiplantae, Streptophyta, Magnoliopsida, Brassicales, Caricaceae.
GCGUGUGAAAAUAGAACACGGUUUACACCAUCUUACGUAGGCGAUGGUAGGAAUCUUGUGAAUCUAAUCAAUAUCCGUUUGGUUUGUCAGAAUCCCAAAAUUUUCCUGCGAAAAUUAAAUUAUGGGUGCUCUCCUUCAUUUUCCUCCUUGUUUCUCUUUCAACAAGCAGCCCAAGUUACGAUGGGGAGAACCCACUUUCCUUCUCAGAGAGAUUGCAGAUGGGUGUUCUACUCUUCCCUCUCGCAAGGCUGCUUCAUUUCAGUUUACUGUUUCUAGCAGAAGAUCUGAUGGAAACAGAAGAGGCAACCCUUCACAAAAAAAUCCUGCCUCAGAAAGAAAAAAUGAGGGUCAGAAUAAGAAACCAUCCGAGAAUAAAAUAACCAGUUCAUCCAACCAAGAGGAGAUAAUUGCUCUGUUCAAUCGUAUACAGUCUUCAAUUUCGAAGAAAGAGCCAACAAGCAGUAAGGAAAUAAAUCCAAAGCCAUCCGAGAAAAAGCCCUCAGCUGAUUCAGUUUUGGAUCUUCUUCAUCAGUUCAGGAAGGGAAUACCUGACACAAUGACAGAGAAGGCAAGGGAGAAUAAAUUGAAAUGGAGAAGAGCAGUUGCUAAGGAGCAGAAGAUACUGAACAAGGAAACAGCUGUUGAUUUCAGAUUGUUUCGACCGCCAUCUAACUUUGUAAAGAGGUCUCCGAUUCCAUCUCCAUCAGUCCCAAGAGGAAAGAUUCUUGAGAUGAAGAAAGAACCUAAAGAGGAUGCAGCUGCAAUUGAGAAAUUGAAGCUUCCUGAGUUAAAACAAAUAGCCAAGUCUAGAGGAAUCAAAGGUUACUCCAGAUUGAAGAAGAGUGAGCUUGUGAAGCUUCUGAGCUCAUAGUCAGCAGAAUUUUAGUGGCUUUUCUACUUCGAUUAAACAUGGCUCUACAAUUCUUUUUCUGCUCUAUCCCACUGAAGCACCUUUUGUUGCUCUGUUUAACCACUAAGAAUGGCUCUAAAUCAUGGAUGCUAGUGCAGUAAAAGAACUGAGUACCCAACUUUCUGCAUUGUAGGAUUUUCUUUUGUGCAUUGGCUAAUUGCAUAUGCUUACGACUCUAGUCUCUUGUUCUAUCAGCAUUUGCCCCAUGAACCUCACCUAGUUGCCAGCAUAUCCUUUUAAAAAUCGACACAAGAUUUCAUGUCAUGGAAAUUUUUUAAUCAAAAUUUCUUUAACUUUUUAUAAUAUUUGAAAGCAUGGACAAACAAUAUAAUACAUCAAACCAAGAUUCAUAUACAUCAUAAGAUGGAUACAGUAACCUGAUCUUCUAUAUGCCUAUCAUAAGUCUUCUUUCUUAUUGCAGAUCCAUUCGCCCAGGAAUUCAGCAUGUUAGUUUGUGUGUACUCACACGAAUCUAUAGUGUUCAUGUAUUCAGUUAACAUUGUUUUAGUAGUCUCUCUUUCAAGAAUAUUGUGGUUAAAUAUCGAUUAUUGUUCAAAAAAACCAACAUCAAAGGUAGGUAGGUGACUUGUUAAACGCUUGAAAAUAGGUUUAAAAUUGUUGAAAGUUGAGAUUUUUCUAGACACUCUGUUUCUGUCUUACAUUUUUUUCAUUUUCUAUAUGAAUGAUUGUCCUUUUUGGGAUUAUGAUUUUGUAAAGGUUAUUUCAGAUACUAUCGUAGUUCAGCUACUCCCACGUUUUGUACUGCUGUCAACAGUUAUGAUAUGUAUAUAUUUUGCCAAAUGGAAACUGUUUGAAAAUCCAUCAAAUGAUAUCAGAGCUCUCUUCUUGAGGGACUUAUAAGUUAAAGGAAAUUAACGUUGAAGUGCUCGUAAGGUGAGUAAUCAAACACCACAAGAACAAGAAGGAUGGCGUCUACCAGCUCUAUGGGGACUGGUCCUCCUGUUUUUAGAAGGGAAAAUUAUUGCAUCUAGACUAUUAAAAUGAAGAUAUAUUUUGGAAUUUAGAGUUUGUGGGAUGUAGGACAGAAUGAUAUAGAACCACUAGAAAUCACAGCCAUUCUGACGUUGGGCUCAGAUGAAGAAACAUGAAGAGGAUUUUGCAAGAAAACUUAAAGCACUAAUUUGCAUAUGUUCAACCUUAUCAGAUGUUAUUUUCACCAAAAUCAAGAAGUGUGAAACACCCAAGGAGACAUGGGACAAGUUGAAGGCUGAAUUUGAAGACAGUGAGAGAGUAAAGGCCGUCAAACUCUUGACCCUUAAAAGAGAGUUUGAACUGUUUAAGGAUGAAGGAUGAUGAAAACGUGGAGUACUCCUCAAAGUUCCUGGAAUUUGUGAAUAAAAUAAGAUCGUGGGAUAAGAGUGUAAUGAUCAAAAGAUUGGCAAUUGAAGAAUCGUAUGAUCUAAAAGGCCUCUCCGUUGCUGAACUUAUUAGCAAACUGCAGACACAAGAACAAAGGACCAUCAUGAAGGAUGAAGCUGUAUUAGAGGAAGCCAUUCAAUAAGGCAGAAAUAGAAUCCACCUGAAAGACUGGAAGAAACAAAGAGCUGAAAGAGUUGGGAAA